UACGUAGGGGCAAGCGUUGUCCGGAAUCAUUGGGCGUAAAGCGCGUGUAGGCGGCUCGGUAAGUCUGCUGUGAAAGUCCCAGGGCUCAACCCGUGGGAUGCCGGUGGAUACUGUCGAGCUCGAGUCCGGAAGAGGCGAGUGGAAUUCCUGGUGUAGCGGUGAAAUGCGCAGGAUAUCAGGAGGAACACCAAUGGCGAAAGGCAGCUCGCUGGGACGUGACUGACGCUGAGACGCGAAAGCGUGGGGAGCAAACAGG
RNAcentral lists this ribosomal RNA (256 nucleotides) under uncultured bacterium. Its description in RNAcentral is "partial 16S ribosomal RNA". It matches the Rfam family "Bacterial small subunit ribosomal RNA", at positions 524 to 776 of the family's 1533-position model. The record is from RNAcentral.